This 296-nucleotide ribosomal RNA is filed under the name Escherichia coli 2-011-08_S3_C1. Its description in RNAcentral is "partial 16S ribosomal RNA". It matches the Rfam family "Bacterial small subunit ribosomal RNA", at positions 1232 to 1527 of the family's 1533-position model. Lineage: Bacteria; Pseudomonadati; Pseudomonadota; Gammaproteobacteria; Enterobacterales; Enterobacteriaceae. The record is from RNAcentral.
GGCGCAUACAAAGAGAAGCGACCUCGCGAGAGCAAGCGGACCUCAUAAAGUGCGUCGUAGUCCGGAUUGGAGUCUGCAACUCGACUCCAUGAAGUCGGAAUCGCUAGUAAUCGUGGAUCAGAAUGCCACGGUGAAUACGUUCCCGGGCCUUGUACACACCGCCCGUCACACCAUGGGAGUGGGUUGCAAAAGAAGUAGGUAGCUUAACCUUCGGGAGGGCGCUUACCACUUUGUGAUUCAUGACUGGGGUGAAGUCGUAACAAGGUAACCGUAGGGGAACCUGCGGUUGGAUCACC